This 339-nucleotide unclassified non-coding RNA is filed under the name soil metagenome. RNAcentral's name for it is "partial contains 5.8S ribosomal RNA, internal transcribed spacer 2, and large subunit ribosomal RNA". The stretch from base 6 to 121 matches the Rfam family "5.8S ribosomal RNA", at positions 39 to 154 of the family's 154-position model. The record is from RNAcentral.
GAUGAAAGAACGUAGCGAAAUGCGAUAAGUAAUGUGAAUUGCAGAAUUCAGUGAAUCAUCGAAUCUUUGAACGCACAUUGCGCCCGCCAGUAUUCUGGCGGGCAUGCCUGUCUGAGCGUCAUUUCAACCCUCAAGCAACUUCUGCUUGGUGUUGGGGAUCGGCCGUCAAACGCCGCCCCCGAAAUCUAUUGGCGAUCUCGCUGUAGCUUCCUAUGCGUAGUAGUAACAUCUCGCAUCUGGAGAGCGGCGCGGUCAUGCCGUAAAACACCCAACUUCUCAGGUUGACCUCAGAUCAGGUAGGAAUACCCGCUGAACUUAAGCAUAUCAAUAAGCGGAGGA